UUAAAUUGAGAGUUUGAUCCUGGCUCAGGAUGAACGCUGGCGGCGUGCUUAACACAUGCAAGUCGAGCGAUGAAGUUUCCUUCGGGAAACGGAUUAGCGGCGGACGGGUGAGUAACACGUGGGUAACCUGCCUCAUAGAGUGGAAUAGCCUUCCGAAAGGAAGAUUAAUACCGCAUAAUGUUGAAAGAUGGCAUCAUCAUUUAACCAAAGGAGCAAUCCGCUAUGAGAUGGACCCGCGGCGCAUUAGCUAGUUGGUGGGGUAACGGCCUACCAAGGCGACGAUGCGUAGCCGACCUGAGAGGGUGAUCGGCCACAUUGGGACUGAGACACGGCCCAGACUCCUACGGGAGGCAGCAGUGGGGAAUAUUGCACAAUGGGGGAAACCCUGAUGCAGCAACGCCGCGUGAGUGAUGAAGGUUUUCGGAUCGUAA
RNAcentral lists this ribosomal RNA (431 nucleotides) under Clostridium perfringens. RNAcentral describes it as "bacterial SSU rRNA". It matches the Rfam family "Bacterial small subunit ribosomal RNA", at positions 1 to 428 of the family's 1533-position model. Lineage: Bacteria; Bacillati; Bacillota; Clostridia; Eubacteriales; Clostridiaceae. The record is from RNAcentral.